This 6284-nucleotide long non-coding RNA is filed under the name Brassica rapa (field mustard). RNAcentral's name for it is "long non-coding RNA (BRAP_LNC003512)". Lineage: Eukaryota; Viridiplantae; Streptophyta; Magnoliopsida; Brassicales; Brassicaceae. The record is from RNAcentral.
UGUAGAGAAACGACCUUGGCUGUUUCUUGUAACAAGUAAAUCGACACAACAAUAUGUUGGGCGAGUCCUCUCCAAACCGGAGACAAACUCUAUAUCACUAUGAAUCGAAAACGUUACAAGCUUCGCACUAGUUGCGUGUUCUAUGCUUUAGAGAGUUUUAUGUUUCUGUAUUCUUACAACUUUGAGUAGAGACCUCUAUUUAUACUAGACCUAAUCAUGUUAAUCCUUGUUGUAUAAGGAAUAACAUAUAUCCUAAAGCUAUAAGGAAUACUUAGACUUAACCCAUAUUCUUUAUGUCUUGUUUCAGGUCUAAAACCGAAGCCCAUAAGCAGCCCACCAGAUGGCCCAAGAGACACAAGCCUCACAUUCUCCACCUUGACUCUUUGGCCUCACUCAUCGACUUCUCCGUCUCUCUCUCUCUCUCCUUUGGCGACCAGAAGCUUCGACGAGCUCACCGCUUCGUCUUCUCGGACGAUCGUCUGUUCCUCGACGCCGUCGUCACCGGAGAUGCAUGCUUCUCUCCGAUCCUUGCUUCUCUCUAUCUCGCCCCUGCUGUAAUCUCUCUCUCCUUCGAUUCCCCGUGACCAAGACAAGAUCCCGACUUCACCGCCGCUCGUCUUCACCGGCGAUUUCUUCCACCGCCUUUGAAAUCUCAGGUUCUGUUCGUUCUUCUUCUGUCUGUUUCCUUAGACAUUUGAACAAACCCUAACCUUUUGAUUUCAAUUUCCAGCUCGUGCCUUGAUGAAUCUGUUGUAGCUUUGUGAUUAUCAACUGACAAGGUCACUCCAAUUCUCCUCACGCUACCUUUUUGAAACUGAACCAUAACUCGUCAAAGACCAAAAAAGGUAACUCCUUUUGUUUUGACUUCCUUAAGAACGUGUCUCAAGCUCACUUUGAAACCUGUAAUGAAAGAUUCCUUUUGCUGAAUUAUUAAAACAUAUCUCCUUGUUUUAACGUUUACAGCUCAUGGUCAUGGUGUUGACGUCUCUUCACCAUCGUUACUUCCGUUAGGUAAUCAAAUAGAAUUGUUGCUUCAAUUCUUUUAAGAGCUUUUGAACUUGUGAAUAAAUAACUUUUGUUCACAACUGUGUUGCAGGCGUUUCCUUGCUACAACCCCACGUCUUCAGGUUUCUGAUUCUUCUCUUUACAAUGAUUUUUUUUUCCAACUUCUUUUGAAGCUUAACCUCUGCAUAAAAAAUUCUUUGACUAGUAUUUCUUGAAUAAUUUUUUGCAGAUUCCUUGCAUAGACAGCUUCUGUCUACACCCAUCAUUCUUCAAAGGUAAUCUUCUAUACUCAAAUUCAUCUUCUUCCCGAGCUUUUUAAUAACCCUGUCGAACCAUCAGUUUACUUUUCCUGAAACUGAUAUUUUCUUUUGUGGCUUUUCCGCGAGGUGAUCAACUCGACAGCAUUGUCACCUCAGCCACGCGAGACCUUCUAAGGCAGAACCUUGAGGAUCUCCAAGCAUGUCUCGAACUUCUGUCCAGGUACACACUUAGUUAGAAAAUCUGCAGGGUUGAUAGAUGUGUGAAUCUUGUGAACCGUAACAUCGCCAGCCUCAAUUACGUCUCUCAUAAAGUGUAGUCUAGUAUCUAUAUGCUUAGUCCUUUCAUGGAAUCCUCCAUUCUUAGCUAAGUGUAUAGCACUCUGUGAAUCUGAAAACACUCUCACAUCAUCUUGCUUGAAUCCCAAUUCACUAACAAACCCCUUAAGCCAUAAUGCUUCUUUAAAAGCUUCGGCUAAUGCCAUGUAUUCUGAUUCUGUCGUUGAUAGUGCGACAAUAUGUUGGAGACCUGAUCUCCAGCUUAUUGUGUUGCCUCCGACUUGAAACACAUAUCCUGUCACGGAUCUUCUUCUGUCCAAAUCGGUUGCGUAGUCUGCGUCACAGAAUCCUCGUACUUUGAAAUCUUCUCCUUUAGUAAACAAUAGAUCCGAAUCUAGAGCUCCUUUAAGAUAUCUCAUCACCCACUUAACAGCUUCCCAGUGUAUUCUUCCUGGCUUGCUCAUAUAACAGCUGAUUAAGCCCACUGCAAAACAUAAGUCUGGUCUAGAUCCCACCAUUGCAUACAUUAAACUUCCAACGGCUGAUACGUAUGGAAUCACAUUCAUGAACCUUGCUUCCUCGUGCUCUUCUUUUUGUGUCAAACUUUUAAGCUUGAAUUGUGGUCCGAUAGGAGUAACCACAGCUUUGCUCUCUGCCAUGUUAAAAGUUUCCAGCACCUUCUGUAGAUACUUCCCUUGUGAUAGUUUUAGAGUUCCUUUCUUCCUGUCUCUAAUAAUAUCCAUUCCAAGUAUUCUUGAAGCUGCUCCAAGGUCCUUCAUCUCAAACUCUCUCUUCAAGCUAUCUUUGAUUCUUUUAAUUUCUUUAGAAUCCUUAGAUGCUAUGAGCAUGUCAUCAACAUAGAUCAAGAGAUAAACCAUAUGAGAUAAGUCUGAACCUUUCAUGUAGACACAAGGAUCAUAUGCACUUCUUUCGAAGCCUUGUUGCUUCAUGAAACUAUCAAAUCUCCUAUUCCACUGUCUUGGUGAUUGUUUUAAUCCGUAAAGUGAUUUCAACAGGAGACAAACUUGAUCUUCUUUUCCCUCCUCAACGAAACCUUCUGGCUGUGCCAUAUAUAUCUCCUCGUCUAACGUUCCGUACAGGAAAGCCGUUUUCACGUCUAGUUGUUCCAAAUCAAGAUCAUAAUUUGCAACAAGUGACAGCAUAAUUCUAAUCGACACGUGUUUCACCACUGGUGCAAACACCUCUGUGUAGUCGAUCCCUUCAACUUGUGAAAACCCUUUAGCUACUAAUCUAGCUUUGUAUCUCGGCUUCUCUACUCCAGGAAUGCCUUCUUUCAGCUUGAAAACCCACUUGCUGCCAAUAAUCUUCUUUUUCUCUGGUUUCUCAACCAGCUUCCAAGUCUGAUUUUUCUCCAACGAAUCCAUCUCUUCUUGCAUUCCCUCGUUCCAUAACUUCCAGCUCUUACUUCUUCUUGCUUCCAAAUAGGAUUUAGGCUCAUCCUUAUUUAUUUCUUCUGCUGUAGCUAGAGCAUAAGCCACGCAAUCUGAAUCAUCAAACCUAGAAGGUUUCUUUACUUCCCUCCUGAUUCUAUCUCUAGCAAGAAUGUAGUUGUCUAGAUUUUCCUGUUGAGCUCCCACAACUUCUUCUUCACUUUCUGAGCUUGCGGAUUCAGGUUCCGAGUUUUCUGAUGCUGGAGAAACUCCACCUUGAACUGUAUCCUCUGUUUCAGUGUCUGUAGUUGUGUUUGAAGGUCCUUGAAUCAGCACAGGAUUGAACGUUACCUUUUUCGUUUUCCUCUUCUUCUCGCUGAUUCCUUUAAUGUCUUUAAACAUCUCUUCCUCAUUGAAAAUCACGUUUCUGCUUACUGUACAUCUUAGUUCUUCUGGUAACCAAACUCGAUAACCUUUAGUCCCGUCUGGAUAUCCCAUGAAAACUCCUUUCAUCGCUCUUGGACUGGUUUUGGCUUGAGUCACGUGAACAUAAGCUGUACAUCCGAACUUCCUUAGAUGAUUUAAGUCUGUUUUGGUUCCAGACCACACCUCUGUCGGUAGUUUGAAGUUAAUAGCUGUACUGGGAGAUCGGUUUAUUAAGUAGACAGCUGUAGAAGCCGCUUCUGCCCAGAACUUUUGCUCUAAGCCUGCCUCUGUCAACAUACAUCUCACCUUCUCCAUAAUCGUACGGUUCAUGCGUUCUGAUACUCCGUUUUGCUGUGGAGUAUAGACGCAUGUUCUGUGUCUUUUAAUCCCUGCUUCCUUACACAAUGUGUCCAUCUGUGUAUUGCAGAACUCUAAUCCGUUAUCUGUCCUAAGACACUUCACCUUCUUUCCUGUCUCAGUCUCCACGCAUGUUUUCCAUUCCCUGAAGUUUUGAAACACUUCAUUUUUUGAUUUUAGGAAAUAGAUCCAAACUUUCCUAGAAAAAUCAUCAAUGAAUGUAACAAAAUAGAAACAUCCUCCGAGACUCUCUACCACCGAAGGUGAACCCCAUAAAUCUGAAUGGAUGUACUCUAGGACUUCCUUAGUCGUGUGCUUGCCUUUUGGAAAGCUUAGCUUGUGUGCUUUGCCCAAAACGCAAUUCUCGCAAAACUCUAACGUCUUCACAUCCUUUUCGUUUAAAUAUCCGUCCUUGACUAAAAUAUUCAUGCCCUUUAGACUCAUAUGUCCAAGCCUAGAGUGCCACUUUUUAGUCAAAUCGAUAUCAGGCCUUGCGACUGCAGCUUCACCAUCCAAUACUGUCCCUUGUAAGUAGUACAGACCAUCACAGUAUUUUCCAGAAAUAACCUUCUUAUCUCCUUUGUAAAACUGCACCAUGAAGUCUUUGCCUUCGUAUCUGCAUCCCAUCUUUUCCAAUAAACCGUAGGAGAUAAGGUUUCUGCCCAUUGUAGGCAUGUAACGAACAUCAGUGAGAAUCACGCUUGAUCCAUCAUCAUUCAUGAUCCUGAUUUUCCCGAUCCCUUUAAUCUCGCUGAUAGUGUUAUUUCCCAUCAAAACCUUUCCUCCUUCUAUGUCUUCAAGAUCAAAUAAGACAUCUUUAUUUGGGGUGAUAUGGAAUGUACAGCCAGAAUCAAGUACCCACUCGUCCUUAGUAGCUUGCUGGCUAGCCACUAAUACCGAUGGUUCCACCUUCUCUUCUGCUAUGUUGACCGAAUUUGAUGGCUUCUUUCUUUCUGGACACUGCUUUUUAAAAUGUACUUCCUUGCCACACGUCCAACAUUCUUUAGAGAACUUAGGUCUUGAUUUUGAUCUGUUAUUGCUUUUAGAUCUUCUUCUCCCCUCUGCCUCUGUUGUCGCCAGCAAACAGCCCCUCCGAGUUACUUUUGGACUUGUUGAGAAGUCCCUUCUCUCUUAAUUCUACUUCCUUAGAAUAAGCUGAGCUUGUAACAUCACGAACCGUUAAAAUUUCUUUGCCGCUGCCGUAUUUUAAUGCAUCAACGAGAGACUCGUAUUGCUUGGGCAAGCUGGUUAAGAUCUGAAUUGCUUGAUCUUCUUCACUGAUCUUAAUAUCCAGACUUGCUAGAUCAGCCACAAGUUUCAGAAACACAUCCAUAUUUUCCUCAAUGGACUUGUGCUCUUCCAUUCUAAAACCUGCAUAUCUCUGCUUCAUGUAGAUUCGAUUUGGUAAUGUCUUGGUCUGAUACUCAGCUUCUAGAGCCUUCCACAUAGCCAGUGCUGUAGGCUCUUGCAUAACCUUGCGCAGAAUAAGGUCAGAUAGACACAAACUGAUCAGAUUCUUUGUACGCAAUUCCCGGUCUUGCUCCUUAGGAUCAGGUUUUUCAUCUUUCUGUUCUUCACCUUCAACAUCCGUAGAAGGAGUUUUCUCCUUAAGAACAGACCCCAAACCAAAGAUCUCUAGCUGACACAGCAUCUUAUAUUUCCAUAGACCAAAAUCACCUUUGCCAUCGAAUUUUUCCACUUCAAAUUUCUUUGAAAUUGCUUCCAUCUUUCUUAUAACCCGUAAACUUAUUUUCCUUUGUUUGCAGGUUGCUGUAACACGCCGUAGUCUUUCAAGCUUCAAUCACCAACGAGCUGAGUCUUCUUCUCCGCACCAGAUAAGAAUUCUCCUUGCUUGUUUAUUGAAUCUUGCCCUCGAAUCUCUGUAACUAGGAUCUCUGUUAGCCUAAGCUCUGAUACCACUUGUAGAGAAACGACCUUGGCUGUUUCUUGUAACAAGUAAAUCGACACAACAAUAUGUUGGGCGAGUCCUCUUCAAACCGGAGACAAACUCUAUAUCACUAUGAAUCGAAAACGUUACAAGCUUCGCACUAGUUGCGUGUUCUAUGCUUUAGAGAGUUUUAUGUUUCUGUAUUCUUACAACUUUGAGUAGAGACCUCUAUUUAUACUAGACCUAAUCAUGUUAAUCCUUGUUGUAUAAGAAAUAACAUAUAUCCUAAAGCUAUAAGGAAUACUUAGACUUAACCCAUAUUCUUUAUGUCUUGUUUCAGGUCUAAAACCGAAGCCCAUAAGCAGCCCACCAGAUGGUCCAAGAGACACAAGCCUCACACUUUUGUUUUAAUUUUACCCAAUCCAUUAUAGCAUAUGAUUUAUAGCUUAUGUAUAGUAGAUUUGUGUGGGUCCUCGGAGGUUAACUGUAUAAGAUGUUGCUGUUAGGUACUUAACAAUGAAAUAAGCUAUGCAACUUAACUUGACAUUUUUGUCUGGCUCCGAGGUCUUUUUUUGCUGAUGUGAUAGCAAAUGGAAAUUGUUUGAUUCUAAUAUGGUCUGUAUGAAAAUGAAUUUCAUAUUGUUGCUUUGACGGAAUGCUUCAUGAACUAAUGGUUUUUGG